AAUAAGUGCAGUUUUACAUUAUUCAUGUCCAACGGUUGACCAUUCGUCUUAUUUUAAAUUUUUUAUGAUUACUAUUUUUAUUGUUAUUAGAUGAUAAAACAUGAAUAGUACUUUAUGUAUGACUAUUUUUUUUAUUUUUUUUUAUAAAUUUUUCAAAUAAGACUAAUGGUCAAACGUUGGACAUAGAUUUUCAUGGCUGCACUUAUU
Molecule: microRNA precursor, 207 nt
Organism: Oryza sativa Japonica Group (Japanese rice)
Lineage: Eukaryota; Viridiplantae; Streptophyta; Magnoliopsida; Poales; Poaceae
Rfam family: MIR812 microRNA precursor family
Source: Rfam